AAUAGAUACCCGGGUAGUCCUAGCUGUAAACGAUGAGCACUGGGUUGAGGGGACUUCCACAUCCUCUCGGCCGUAGCGAAAGCGUUAAGUGCUCCGCCUGGGGAGUAUGGCCGCAAGGCUGAAACUCAAAGGAAUUGACGGGGGGCUCACACAAGCGGUGGAGGAUGUGGCUUAAUUCGAGGCUACGCGAAGAACCUUAUCCUAGAUUUGACAUGGUUGAGAAUCUCCUUGAAAGAGGAGAGUGCCCUUCGGGGAGCUCUUUCACAGGUGCUGCAUGGCUGUCGUCAGCUCGUGUCGUGAGAUGUUGGGUUAAGUCCCUUAACGAGCGGAAACCCUUAUCUUUAGUUGCCAGCGGGUCAAGCCGGGGACUCUAAAGAGACUGCCGGUGUCAAACCGGAGGAAGGUGGGGAUGACGUCAAGUCCUCAUGGCCUUUAUGUCUAGGGCUGCACACGUCCUACAAUGGCACGUACAAAGGGAAGCCAAGCCGCGAGGCCGCGCUAAUCCCAAAAAGCGUGCCCCAGUUCGGAUUGCAGG
Molecule: ribosomal RNA, 535 nt
Filed under: uncultured bacterium
Lineage: Bacteria
Description: bacterial SSU rRNA
Rfam family: Bacterial small subunit ribosomal RNA
Source: RNAcentral